Molecule: small nuclear RNA, 107 nt
Organism: Fukomys damarensis (Damara mole-rat)
Lineage: Eukaryota; Metazoa; Chordata; Mammalia; Rodentia; Bathyergidae
Source: Ensembl
GUGCUCGCUUCGGCAGUGCAUGUACUAGAAUAGGAACGAUACAGAGAAGAUUAGCAUGGCCCCUGCACAAGGAUGACACACAGAUUUGUGAAGCAGUCCAUAUUUUU